RNAcentral lists this ribosomal RNA (440 nucleotides) under uncultured bacterium. RNAcentral describes it as "partial 16S ribosomal RNA". It matches the Rfam family "Bacterial small subunit ribosomal RNA", at positions 338 to 795 of the family's 1533-position model. The record is from RNAcentral.
CCUACGGGCGGCAGCAGUGGGGAAUAUUGGACAAUGGGGGAAACCCUGAUCCAGCGACGCCGCGUGAGUGAAGAAGUCUUUCGGUACGUAAAGCUCUAUCAGCAGGGAAGAAAAUGACGGUACCUGCCUCCGCAGCCCCGGCUCACUCCGUGCCAGCAGCCGCGGUCAUACGUAGGGGGCAAGCGUUAUCCGGAUUUACUGGGUGUAACGGGAGCGUAGACGGCAGCGCAAGUCUGGAGUGAAAUGCCGGGGCCCAACCCCGGAACUGCUCUGGAAACUGGGAGGCUGGAGUGCAGGAGAGGUAAGCGGAAUUCCGGGUGUAGCGGUGAAAUGCGUAGAUAUCAGGAGGAACACCGGCGGCGAAGGCGGCUUACUGGACGGUAACUGACGUUGAGGCGCGAAGGCGUGGGGAGCAAACAGGAUUAGAUACCCCAGUAGUC